This is a long non-coding RNA of Equus quagga, 511 nucleotides long. RefSeq lists it as uncharacterized. The transcript has 3 exons. Lineage: Eukaryota; Metazoa; Chordata; Mammalia; Perissodactyla; Equidae. The record is from RefSeq and is a predicted model, not a curated record.
GCGGAUGCUCAGCUGCCCGCCGCCUUCCCGGGGCGCACCCGGCACGUCCACGUCACUUUUGUACUAAGAUGGGGUCGGAUGGUCCGCCCCGGUUUUGUGCGAUCCCUUUGCAGCGGGAAGCCUUCUGAAGUUUGCACAACACAUCUCCUUCAGGAGGACAUGGACCUCACCUAUGGCAGCUGGGACCAGGGUGAGGCCAGAAGUUUGAAAUCAAGGUGUGAGCGGGGCUGCGCUCCCUGUGAUGGCUCUUGGGCAGUAUCCUUCCACCGUGGACUGGUUGUUUGUGUCCCCCCCAAAUUCAUAUGUUGAAACCUGAUCCUCAAGGUGACGGUAUUCAGAGGUGGGGCCUUUGGGAGGUGAUUAAGUCACGAGGGUGGAGCCCUCAUGAUGUGAUUAGUGCCCUUGUAAAAGAGACCCCCCCAAGACCCCCCUCAUCCUUCCGCCGUGGAAAGACACAGCAAGAAGAUGCCUUCUAUGACUCAGGGAGCAGGUCCUCACCAGACAUGGAAUC